This 21-nucleotide non-coding RNA is filed under the name Caenorhabditis elegans. The record is from RNAcentral. Lineage: Eukaryota; Metazoa; Nematoda; Chromadorea; Rhabditida; Rhabditidae.
UAGCUAUUCGUAGCAGCAAAA